This 496-nucleotide ribosomal RNA is filed under the name uncultured bacterium. RNAcentral's name for it is "partial 16S ribosomal RNA". It matches the Rfam family "Bacterial small subunit ribosomal RNA", at positions 28 to 506 of the family's 1533-position model. The record is from RNAcentral.
GAUGAACGCUGGCGGCGUGCCUAAUACAUGCAAGUCGAGCGAACAGAUGAGGAGCUUGCUCCUCUGACGUUAGCGGCGGACGGGUGAGUAACACGUGGAUAACCUACCUAUAAGACUGGGAUAACUUCGGGAAACCGGAGCUAAUACCGGAUAAUAUAUUGAACCGCAUGGUUCAAUAGUGAAAGACGGUUUUGCUGUCACUUAUAGAUGGAUCCGCGCCGCAUUAGCUAGUUGGUAAGGUAACGGCUUACCAAGGCAACGAUGCGUAGCCGACCUGAGAGGGUGAUCGGCCACACUGGAACUGAGACCCGGUCCAGACUCCUACGGGAGGCAGCAGUAGGGAAUCUUCCGCAAUGGGCGAAAGCCUGACGGAGCAACGCCGCGUGAGUGAUGAAGGUCUUCGGUUCGUAAAACUCUGUUAUUAGGGAAGAACAAAUGUGUAAGUAACGAUGCACGUCUUGACGGUACCUAAUCAGAAAGCCACGGCUAACUACGU